Molecule: ribosomal RNA, 492 nt
Filed under: uncultured bacterium
Lineage: Bacteria
Description: partial 16S ribosomal RNA
Rfam family: Bacterial small subunit ribosomal RNA
Source: RNAcentral
AGUGAACGCUGGCGGUUGGCCUAACACAUGCAAGUCGAACGGCAGCACAGUAAGAGCUUGCUCUUACGGGUGGCGAGUGGCGGACGGGUGAGGAAUACAUCGGAAUCUACUUUUUCGUGGGGGAUAACGUAGGGAAACUUACGCUAAUACCGCAUACGACCUACGGGUGAAAGCAGGGGAUCUUCGGACCUUGCGCGAUUGAAUGAGCCGAUGUCGGAUUAGCUAGUUGGCGGGGUAAAGGCCCACCAAGGCGACGAUCCGUAGCUGGUCUGAGAGGAUGAUCAGCCACACUGGAACUGAGACACGGUCCAGACUCCUACGGGAGGCAGCAGUGGGGAAUAUUGGACAAUGGGCACAAGCCUGAUCCAGCCAUACCGCGUGGGUGAAGAAGGCCUUCGGGUUGUAAAGCCCUUUUGUUGGGAAAGAAAAGCAGCAGGUUAAUACCCCGCUGUUCUGACGGUACCCAAAGAAUAAGCACCGGCUAACUUCGUG